RNAcentral lists this transfer RNA (74 nucleotides) under Nemichthys scolopaceus (slender snipe eel). RNAcentral describes it as "tRNA-Thr". It matches the Rfam family "tRNA". From Rfam's summary of the family: Transfer RNA (tRNA) molecules are approximately 80 nucleotides in length. Their secondary structure includes four short double-helical elements and three loops (D, anti-codon, and T loops). Lineage: Eukaryota; Metazoa; Chordata; Actinopteri; Anguilliformes; Nemichthyidae. The record is from RNAcentral.
GCCCUAGUAGCUUAAAUGCCCAAAGCAUUGGAUUUGUAACUCAAAGAUUGGAGAUUAGAGUACUCCCUAGCGCA